Molecule: small RNA, 574 nt
Filed under: Pongo abelii (Sumatran orangutan)
Lineage: Eukaryota; Metazoa; Chordata; Mammalia; Primates; Hominidae
Description: retained intron
Source: RNAcentral
GGGUGUUUGUGGUGGGGCUGCGGAGUUGCCGAUCCCGCCGGAAGCGCCAGGACAAUGGGGACCCGGGACGACGAGUACGACUACCUAUUCAAAGUGGUGCUCAUCGGGGACUCGGGCGUGGGCAAGAGCAACCUGCUGUCGCGCUUCACCCGCAACGAGUUCAACCUGGAGAGCAAGAGCACCAUCGGCGUGGAGUUUGCCACCCGCAGCAUCCAGGUGGACGGCAAGACCAUCAAGGCGCAGAUCUGGGACACCGCUGGCCAGGAGCGCUACCGCGCCAUCACCUCCGCGUGCGUGUCAGCAGCCUGGGCAGGGACACUGAGAUUCGGGGGCAUGGGCGUGCAGCACGUGGGCUUGGAAGGUUGUGUAGGAGUUGGGCAGGAGAAGGGGAGAGUGUGCUCCCAAGAGCAGGGAGUGAGGCUGGAAGAACACCUUAGCCAUGUGCCAUGGGACCCUCAGGCUGACCAGCGCCCAGCCUUGGCCGCACCAGGGUAUCUCUGGGUACCAAGGGCAGUGAGGACCUGGCUCAGGCCACUCCGCCUUGCUGCUGCCCCUGCCCAGCCAGCAUCCCAGC